AGCUCUGCACCGCUGGAUGGGUGCACUGCUAUCAUUAGGGGCUUUUGAGGGGAUUUUAUGACUAUUUGAGCAGGAAUCUUUCACAUCCUCAUCAUAUGUCUCAUGGCUGUUGAAAUGUCAUGAAAUACAAAACACUUUUAAAAGUCUUUUGUAAAAUCCCUACAACUAAAAAGGCAGUUCUGUGAUGACAUCAUCGUACAGGAAGUGACAUCAUUUUGGAGGGAAAACAACAGCACCAACAUCAAACCCAGAACAUUCCUUGAGCAGCAGAAGUUGGAAUGCCACAUGGUUUUAAUGCCCCGCCCACCGCAGCGAUGAUGACACGCAGCGCCCCUGACCCCCCGCCUCUGGAGCUUGAAACUCAGUUUUAUGGGAAAGAGCAACCAGCACAAUUGUUAAAAUCCAAAAGAAAAUACAGAGGAUAGAAAGUCAUACAGGUUUUGAACUGUGUAAAUGACAGACGCGGAUAAGAGAUUGUGCCCGUCCUCCUUAAGAUGAAAGAUCAGGGUCAUCAUUCCCAGACCUGCAGGAGCCUCAACAACCACCUCCAAUCCUGAGGAGAAAUCCUGAGGAGAAAUCCUGCUCUUCAGUAAUUUAUUACGAGUUUCAGCGUGCCAGAAACAUUCGUCUGAGAACGCCUGAAGAUUUUAUCAAGCUUUAAUUCAACACUUGGCCUGAAAUAUUUUAUUAUGUGAAACGAUUCAGACCAAUUCAUCUGAUAUCUUCACUCUGUGUUCAUGAAGGACCCCAACAGCUGUGAACUUAUUCCUCGAGGAAAAGGUUCCAGUUCAUUCACAGUUUCCAGUCAAGGACCAAAAAGUCCAUGAAAGAGCCAUAAAGAAGUUGACGGAGGCUGACAGGACGUGGUCACUAUGAAGUGUUGUUGUAUGGAAAAGUGGAGCAUGUACAUCUGUACGAGCUGUCAUAACAACACAGACUGUACAUCACAGCGCACGCGGAGGGAGGAGGGACGAUUUUCCACUACGCUUCACUUCCAGACCCUAGAUGGAUGCAGAGAGGAAAGAUAGUGGCCUUCGCACGUUCCUCUGUUGAUUUAUUUUCAUUUUUACUCAAGCUGCACGUCACCACAGGAGUUUACAGACACUCGUAGCUGUCUGGGAGAGACGUCAGUGCUGUCUUCUCUCAUGUUCAGAAUGAUGCAAAUAUUUCAGGUGUGCUUUGCAAGAGCUGACAUUGCAACGUUUUGUUUUCUCAAUAUAUAUUGCAAAAUGAAAAAUACAGGAAUUUUCACUAGAUGACUUGAAUAACAUUAGUAAGAAUGAAUCAUUCUAGAAUGAGUGGGGUUAUAUGCAUCUGCGUAGAAAAUAAAAAUUUUAAGAUGUGGGUGUUCA
Molecule: long non-coding RNA, 1352 nt
Organism: Megalobrama amblycephala (Wuchang bream)
Lineage: Eukaryota; Metazoa; Chordata; Actinopteri; Cypriniformes; Xenocyprididae
Exons: 7
Source: RefSeq, a predicted model, not a curated record